GCACUGCUGAGGAGUUCAACCAUAGGAUGAAACGGCCGUCUAGUGC
Non-coding RNA from Schistosoma margrebowiei, 46 nucleotides. NCBI's taxonomy places the organism in Eukaryota, Metazoa, Platyhelminthes, Trematoda, Strigeidida, Schistosomatidae. The record is from Rfam.